GUGCUUGCUUCAUCAGCACACAGGCUAAAAUUGGGAGAAGAUUACCAUGGCUCCUGUGCAAGGAUGACAAAUUCUUGAAGCAUUUCUUAUUUUA
This 94-nucleotide small nuclear RNA is filed under the name Ochotona princeps (American pika). The record is from RNAcentral. Lineage: Eukaryota; Metazoa; Chordata; Mammalia; Lagomorpha; Ochotonidae.